Molecule: ribosomal RNA, 432 nt
Filed under: uncultured bacterium
Lineage: Bacteria
Description: bacterial SSU rRNA
Rfam family: Bacterial small subunit ribosomal RNA
Source: RNAcentral
CGUAAAGAGCUUGUAGGCGGUUUGUCGCGUCUGCUGUGAAAGGCCGGAGCUUAACUCCGUGUAUUGCAGUGGGUACGGGCAGACUAGAGUGCAGUAGGGGAGACUGGAAUUCCUGGUGUAGCGGUGGAAUGCGCAGAUAUCAGGAGGAACACCGAUGGCGAAGGCAGGUCUCUGGGCUGUAACUGACGCUGAGAAGCGAAAGCAUGGGGAGCGAACAGGAUUAGAUACCCUGGUAGUCCAUGCCGUAAACGUUGGGCACUAGGUGUGGGGAACAUUCCACGUUUUCCGCGCCGUAGCUAACGCAUUAAGUGCCCCGCCUGGGGAGUACGGCCGCAAGGCUAAAACUCAAAGAAAUUGACGGGGGCCCGCACAAGCGGCGGAGCAUGCGGAUUAAUUCGAUGCAACGCGAAGAACCUUACCAAGGCUUGACAU